AGUGAACGCUGGCGGUAGGCCUAACACAUGCAAGUCGAACGGCAGCACAGUAAGAGCUUGCUCUUACGGGUGGCGAGUGGCGGACGGGUGAGGAAUACAUCGGAAUCUACUUUUUCGUGGGGGAUAACGUAGGGAAACUUACGCUAAUACCGCAUACGACCUACGGGUGAAAGCAGGGGAUCUUCGGACCUUGCGCGAUUGAAUGAGCCGAUGUCGGAUUAGCUAGUUGGCGGGGUAAAGGCCCACCAAGGCGACGAUCCGUAGCUGGUCUGAGAGGAUGACAACCGGCACAGGGUCUGAGGGGCGGCACAGGGGGGUAAGGGAGGAAAAAGGGGGGAAGCUUGCACCAUGCGCGGCAGGGGGGUGAAGAGGGCCUGCGGGUGGGAAGACCGUUUUGGGGGGAAAAAAAACCAGCAGGUUAAAACCCGCGUUUGUGACGGUACCCGAAAAAAAAGCGCCGGCUAACUUCGUG
RNAcentral lists this ribosomal RNA (472 nucleotides) under uncultured bacterium. Its description in RNAcentral is "partial 16S ribosomal RNA". It matches the Rfam family "Bacterial small subunit ribosomal RNA", at positions 30 to 507 of the family's 1533-position model. The record is from RNAcentral.